Molecule: ribosomal RNA, 1346 nt
Filed under: uncultured bacterium
Lineage: Bacteria
Description: bacterial SSU rRNA
Rfam family: Bacterial small subunit ribosomal RNA
Source: RNAcentral
GACGAACGCUGGCGGCGUGCUUAACACAUGCAAGUCGAACGGAAAGGCCCUGCUUUUGUGGGGUGCUCGAGUGGCGAACGGGUGAGUAACACGUGAGUAACCUGCCCUUGACUUUGGGAUAACUUCAGGAAACUGGGGCUAAUACCGGAUAGGAGCUCCUGCUGCAUGGUGGGGGUUGGAAAGUUUCGGCGGUUGGGGAUGGACUCGCGGCUUAUCAGCUUGUUGGUGGGGUAGUGGCUUACCAAGGCUUUGACGGGUAGCCGGCCUGAGAGGGUGACCGGCCACAUUGGGACUGAGAUACGGCCCAGACUCCUACGGGAGGCAGCAGUGGGGAAUAUUGCACAAUGGGCGGAAGCCUGAUGCAGCAACGCCGCGUGCGGGAUGACGGCCUUCAGGUUGUAAACCGCUUUCGCCUGUGACGAAGCGUGAGUGACGGUAAUGGGUAAAGAAGCACCGGCUAACUACGUGCCAGCAGCCGCGGUGAUACGUAGGGUGCGAGCGUUGUCCGGAUUUAUUGGGCGUAAAGGGCUCGUAGGUGGUUGAUCGCGUCGGAAGUGUAAUCUUGGGGCUUAACCCUGAGCGUGCUUUCGAUACGGGUUGACUUGAGGAAGGUAGGGGAGAAUGGAAUUCCUGGUGGAGCGGUGGAAUGCGCAGAUAUCAGGAGGAACACCAGUGGCGAAGGCGGUUCUCUGGGCCUUUCCUGACGCUGAGGAGCGAAAGCGUGGGGAGCGAACAGGCUUAGAUACCCUGGUAGUCCACGCUGUAAACGGUGGGUACUAGGUGUGGGGUCCAUUCCACGGGUUCCGUGCCGUAGCUAACGCUUUAAGUACCCCGCCUGGGGAGUACGGCCGCAAGGCUAAAACUCAAAGGAAUUGACGGGGCCCCGCACAAGCGGCGGAGCAUGCGGAUUAAUUCGAUGCAACGCGUAGAACCUUACCUGGGUUUGACAUGGAUCGGGAGUGCUCAGAGAUGGGUGUGCCUCUUUUGGGGUCGGUUCACAGGUGGUGCAUGCCUGUCGUCAGCUCGUGUCGUGAGAUGUUGGGUUAAGUCCCGCAACGAGCGCAACCCUUGUUCACUGUUGCCAGCACGUUAUGGUGGGGACUCAGUGGAGACCGCCGGGGUCAACUCGGAGGAAGGUGGGGAUGACGUCAAGUCCUCAUGCCCCUUAUGUCCAGGGCUUCACGCAUGCUACAAUGGCUGGUACAGAGAGUGGCGAGCCUGUGAGGGUGAGCGAAUCUCGGAAAGCCGGUCUCAGUUCGGAUUGGGGUUUGCAACUCGACCUCAUGAAGUCGGAGUCGCUAGUAAUCGCAGAUCAGCAACGCUGCGGUGAAUACGUUCCCGGGGCU